UACGGAGGAUGCAAGCGUUAUCCGGAAUGAUUGGGCGUAAAGCGUCCGCAGGUGGCUGUGUAAGUCUGCUGUCAAAGAGCAAAGCUCAACUUUGUAAAGGCAGUGGAAACUACACGGCUAGAGUGCGUUCGGGGCAGAGGGAAUUCCUGGUGUAGCGGUGAAAUGCGUAGAGAUCAGGAAGAACACCGGUGGCGAAGGCGCUCUGCUAGGCCGCAACUGACACUGAGGGACGAAAGCUAGGGGAGCGAAUGGA
Molecule: ribosomal RNA, 253 nt
Filed under: uncultured bacterium
Lineage: Bacteria
Description: partial 16S ribosomal RNA
Rfam family: Bacterial small subunit ribosomal RNA
Source: RNAcentral